UCUCUCAAGAAUGGGGACUGAGGUCUCUGGGUCUCAACACAGCUUUUUGCAUAUAAAGUUCACAGCUCUCAGAAAAUCUGCAUUUUGAAAUCUUGAAGAUCCCCUGCAGUUCCCUGUCCAUCACUGUUUAACUAUUUACAGAUGUGAUUCUUCAUAAUGCUUCUCUACCAGUGAAAGCCUUCCUGUUGAAGCUGCUGUGGC
RNAcentral lists this long non-coding RNA (201 nucleotides) under Calidris pugnax (ruff). RNAcentral describes it as "lncRNA (ENSCPUG00000003744.1)". Lineage: Eukaryota; Metazoa; Chordata; Aves; Charadriiformes; Scolopacidae. The record is from RNAcentral.